This 28-nucleotide small RNA is filed under the name Bombyx mori (domestic silkworm). RNAcentral describes it as "ovarian small RNA-18399". Lineage: Eukaryota; Metazoa; Arthropoda; Insecta; Lepidoptera; Bombycidae. The record is from RNAcentral.
UAAAGUCAGGAUAGGCUAGUGGUGGAGC